This 257-nucleotide ribosomal RNA is filed under the name uncultured bacterium. RNAcentral describes it as "partial 16S ribosomal RNA". It matches the Rfam family "Bacterial small subunit ribosomal RNA", at positions 793 to 1055 of the family's 1533-position model. The record is from RNAcentral.
GUCCAUGCCGUAAACGAUGAUCACUAGCUGUUUGCGAUAUAAAGUAAGUGGCAAAGGGAAACCAUUAAGUGAUCCACCUGGGGAGUACGCCCGCAAGGGUGAAACUCAAAGGAAUUGACGGGGGCCCGCACAAGCGGAGGAACAUGUGGUUUAAUUCGAUGAUACGCGAGGAACCUUACCUGGAUUUAAAUGGGGAGUGACAGACUUAGAGAUAGGUUUUUCUUCGGACACUCUUCAAGGUGCUGCAUGGUUGUCGU